UACAGAGGUCUCAAGCGUUGUUCGGAUUCAUUGGGCGUAAAGGGUGCGUAGGCGGCGCGGUAAGUCGGGUGUGAAAUCUCGGGGCUUAACUCCGAAACUGCAUUCGAUACUGCCGUGCUUGAGGACUGGAAAGGAGACUGGAAUUUACGGUGUAGCGGUGAAAUGCGUAGAUAUCGUAAGGAAGACCAGUGGCGAAGGCGGGUCUCUGGACAGUUCCUGACGCUGAGGCACGAAGGUCAGGGGAGCAAACGGG
RNAcentral lists this ribosomal RNA (253 nucleotides) under uncultured bacterium. RNAcentral's name for it is "partial 16S ribosomal RNA". It matches the Rfam family "Bacterial small subunit ribosomal RNA", at positions 524 to 776 of the family's 1533-position model. The record is from RNAcentral.